UACGGAGGGGGCUAGCGUUGUUCGGAAUUACUGGGCGUAAAGCGCACGUAGGCGGCUUUGUAAGUUAGAGGUGAAAGCCCGGAGCUCAACUCCGGAAUUGCCUUUAAGACUGCAUCGCUAGAAUUGUGGAGAGGUAAGUGGAAUUCCCGGUGUAGUGGUGAAAUGCGUAGAUAUCGGGAGGAACACCAGUGGCGAAGGCGACUACCUGGCCCAUUCUUGACACUGAGGCGCGAAAGCUAGGGGAGCGAACGGG
Molecule: ribosomal RNA, 253 nt
Filed under: uncultured bacterium
Lineage: Bacteria
Description: partial 16S ribosomal RNA
Rfam family: Bacterial small subunit ribosomal RNA
Source: RNAcentral